RNAcentral lists this ribosomal RNA (407 nucleotides) under Verrucomicrobiota bacterium. Its description in RNAcentral is "Verrucomicrobia bacterium partial 16S ribosomal RNA". It matches the Rfam family "Bacterial small subunit ribosomal RNA", at positions 355 to 776 of the family's 1533-position model. Lineage: Bacteria; Pseudomonadati; Verrucomicrobiota. The record is from RNAcentral.
UGGGGAAUAUUGGGCAAUGGGCGAAAGCCUGACCCAGCAACGCCGCGUGAAGUAUGAAGGCCUUCGGGUUGUAAACUUCUUUGAUCAGGGAAGAAACAAAUGACGGUACCUGAAAAACAAGCCACGGCUAACUACGUGCCAGCAGCCGCGGUAAUACGUAGGUGGCGAGCGUUAUCCGGAUUUACUGGGUGUAAAGGGCGUGCAGGCGGGCUGAUACGUCAGAUGUGAAAUCCCCGAGCUUAACUCGGGAACUGCAUCUGAUACUGUUGGUCUUGAGUGCUGGAGAGGAUAGUGGAAUGCCUAGUGUAGCGGUAAAAUGCGCAGAGAUUAGGGGGAGCACCAGUGGCGAAGGCGGCUAUCUGGACAGUAACUGACGCUGAGGCGCGAAAGCGUGGGUAGCAAACAGA